Molecule: ribosomal RNA, 484 nt
Filed under: Salmonella enterica
Lineage: Bacteria; Pseudomonadati; Pseudomonadota; Gammaproteobacteria; Enterobacterales; Enterobacteriaceae
Description: bacterial SSU rRNA
Rfam family: Bacterial small subunit ribosomal RNA
Source: RNAcentral
AAAUUGAAGAGUUUGAUCAUGGCUCAGAUUGAACGCUGGCGGCAGGCCUAACACAUGCAAGUCGAACGGUAACAGGAAGCAGCUUGCUGCUUCGCUGACGAGUGGCGGACGGGUGAGUAAUGUCUGGGAAACUGCCUGAUGGAGGGGGAUAACUACUGGAAACGGUGGCUAAUACCGCAUAACGUCGCAAGACCAAAGAGGGGGACCUUCGGGCCUCUUGCCAUCAGAUGUGCCCAGAUGGGAUUAGCUUGUUGGUGAGGUAACGGCUCACCAAGGCGACGAUCCCUAGCUGGUCUGAGAGGAUGACCAGCCACACUGGAACUGAGACACGGUCCAGACUCCUACGGGAGGCAGCAGUGGGGAAUAUUGCACAAUGGGCGCAAGCCUGAUGCAGCCAUGCCGCGUGUAUGAAGAAGGCCUUCGGGUUGUAAAGUACUUUCAGCGGGGAGGAAGGUGUUGCGGUUAAUAACCGCAGCAAUUGACG